RNAcentral lists this signal recognition particle RNA (98 nucleotides) under Pseudomonadota bacterium. Its description in RNAcentral is "signal recognition particle sRNA small type". It matches the Rfam family "Bacterial small signal recognition particle RNA". Rfam says of the family: The signal recognition particle (SRP) is a universally conserved ribonucleoprotein involved in the co-translational targeting of proteins to membranes. Archaeal SRP consists of a 7S RNA and homologues of the eukaryotic SRP19 and SRP54 proteins. Lineage: Bacteria; Pseudomonadati; Pseudomonadota. RNAcentral also lists the same sequence under 1 other name. The record is from RNAcentral.
CGCAGACAGGCGGUGGACGGUCGCCCCGCCAACCCGGUCAGGUCCGGAAGGAAGCAGCCGCAACGGGUAGUGCUCGGGUCGCCGUCCUGUCUGUACCC